UUGCCUCUCCCUGCAGCGAUAGCCAUCGAGUCGUCAGACGCUUAUAUUGGGCCGCAACGGUGCCACUCGAUGAUCAGUUGUCCUCAAGCUUCCACUACGAUAAGAUGUUGUCACGACCAAGUCUUCUCCUUGUGUUGGCCUGUGCUUACGUCCAUGUCUCGUCCGUUCCACUCGUCGGUCCACUUGCCAUUCGGCCAUUAAUUUGUCUCAACAAGAUCACCAACCAGUCAGGCGUGUGUAUGUUCACGAUGGAUUGUCACCGCAUAAACGGAACGGCACUGGGUGUGUGCGGCGACCGUUUCUACUUCGGCUCGUGCUGCGUUGUGCCCGCACUGGACGAAGAGUUGAACGCACUAGAACGGACGGGUGGUGCAUCGACCAAGCGGUGGCAAGCACCGGGCACUUAUCUAUUGGAAAUGAAAGAGCAAGAAGACCGUUCACUUUCCUCAUCGGAAGAACUUCAAAUAGAGGAUUUCUAGAAGAGUGCAAACUAGAAAAAAAAAACGAAGCCGAUGAAUUGGAUAUUUUUUUAUGUUGGUCCAAUUCUCUUUGUACGAGUGUGUCAUAAUAUAGCGCUGGUCGCUACUGGUAUAGAUACGUAUGUCAAUUGUUAGUCUAUUUUUAUUUUGUUAUACAAUCAAUACAUAUACUCUCGUUAUUAAU
Molecule: long non-coding RNA, 663 nt
Organism: Daphnia carinata
Lineage: Eukaryota; Metazoa; Arthropoda; Branchiopoda; Diplostraca; Daphniidae
Exons: 2
Source: RefSeq, a predicted model, not a curated record